AAACCAUAAUGUGGACAACUCCUUAGUAAAUCCUUGAAACAUUCCCAGCAAUCUUACAGAAUCUCAUUCUCUUAUUGAAGAAAGCCUGUUAUUUCAUUCCUCAACUU
Ricinus communis (castor bean) is the source of this 107-nucleotide non-coding RNA. NCBI's taxonomy places the organism in Eukaryota, Viridiplantae, Streptophyta, Magnoliopsida, Malpighiales, Euphorbiaceae. The record is from Rfam.